GCGCGCAUGGGCAUCAUUACUUUCGGGCAAAGCACAGGCAGCUGGCGUGACUGGACCAACAUGUAAAAAAUGUCUACAGCCCAGUCAGCUGCCCGUGAUUUGCAUCACGUUCAUGCGCUCGAGUUUGGAGACGACCAGAAGGCGCCAAAACGUAUCUUUAGUUUGCAGGUGGACAAUGAAAUUAAACUGGACGUGGAUGCAGGUCAUGAAUUCAUAUCAGCAAGAUAUUGGGUGAG
Molecule: long non-coding RNA, 236 nt
Organism: Oncorhynchus kisutch (coho salmon)
Lineage: Eukaryota; Metazoa; Chordata; Actinopteri; Salmoniformes; Salmonidae
Exons: 3
Source: RefSeq, a predicted model, not a curated record